CCUACGGGUGGCAGCCGUGAGGAAUAUUGGUCAAUGGGCGCGAGCCUGAACCAGCCAAGUCGCGUGAGGGAAGACGGUCCUAUGGAUUGUAAACCUCUUUUGUCGGGGCGCAAAAGACGCCACGCGUGGCGUUCCGAGAGUACCCGAAGAAAAAGCAUCGGCUAACUCCGUGCCAGCAGCCGCGGUAAUCCGGAGGAUGCGAGCGUUAUCCGGAUUGAUUGGGUUUAAAGGGGGCGCAGGCGGAAGAUCAAGUCAGCGGUAAAAUUGAGAGGCUCAACCUCUUCGAGCCGUUGAAACUGGUGUUCUUGAGUGAGCGAGAAGUAGGCGGAAUGCGUGGUGGAGCGGUGAAAUGCAUAGAUAUCACGCAGAACUCCGAUUGCGAAGGCAGCACACCGGCGCUCAACUGACGCGCAUGCACGAAAGUGUGGGUAUCGAACAGGAGUAGAUACCCUUGUAGUC
This 459-nucleotide ribosomal RNA is filed under the name uncultured bacterium. RNAcentral describes it as "partial 16S ribosomal RNA". It matches the Rfam family "Bacterial small subunit ribosomal RNA", at positions 338 to 795 of the family's 1533-position model. The record is from RNAcentral.